This 430-nucleotide ribosomal RNA is filed under the name uncultured bacterium. RNAcentral describes it as "partial 16S ribosomal RNA". It matches the Rfam family "Bacterial small subunit ribosomal RNA", at positions 29 to 507 of the family's 1533-position model. The record is from RNAcentral.
AACGAACGCUGGCGGCAUGCCUAACACAUGCAAGUCGAACGAGACCUUCGGGUCUAGUGGCGCACGGGUGCGUAACGCGUGGGAACCUGCCCUUAGGUUCGGAAUACUCCCCGAAAGGGGUGCUAAUACCGGAUAAUGUCUUCGGACCAAAGAUUUAUCGCCUUUGGAUGGGCCCGCGUUGGAUUAGCUAGUUGGUAGGGUAAAAGCCUACCAAGGCGACGAUCCAUAGCUGGUCUGAGGAUGAUCAGCCACACUGGGACUGAGACACGGCCCAGACUCCUACGGGAAGCAGCAGUGGGGAAUAUUGGACAAUGGGCGAAAGCCUGAUCCAGCAAUGCCGCGUGAGUGAUGAAGGCCUUAGGGUUGUAAAGCUCUUUUACCCGGGAUGAUAAUGACAGUACCGGGAGAAUAAGCUCCGGCUAACUCCGUG